RNAcentral lists this long non-coding RNA (508 nucleotides) under Monodelphis domestica (gray short-tailed opossum). RNAcentral describes it as "lncRNA (ENSMODG00000038235.1)". Lineage: Eukaryota; Metazoa; Chordata; Mammalia; Didelphimorphia; Didelphidae. The record is from RNAcentral.
CAAUCAAAAGCCUCCAGAGGACAGGGAAGCUAGCAUUCCUCCCCUAGAGACUGUACCAAGAGAUCUGACAGAUCUCCAAGAGGGGAGACUGACAGCCCCCAAAACAAAAUGAAAGGAGCAAGAGCACAGCCAAAUACGGGGAGCAAAGAAGGGGUAAACUCGAGCAAACUACAGAAAAAGAAGAAAGAAAUUACAAUAGACAGCUUCUGCACAGAAGGAUUAGUGUAAGAACAGAGCUGCACGUUGGAAAGAUCACUAACUCAAGUUGGAGAACGAGAAUUCAAAGCCCAAACUCUUUGACUUCAGGCAAUACAAAAAAGUAUUGUGGGCUGCAUGUUCGACCCUUUUGCUGUAAAAUUCUCAAGAACUGGGAGAUGUGGUAUUUGAGCUACAGUGAGUGAUCUUUGAAAAACCACAGAGAACAGAAGACCAGCCUUGUAGUAGGGGGAGUGCAAAUGUUGCCCCAAUUUUCAAACCAGGAAAGAUAAUAAAUUCUUUAAAGGAUAAG